UACGUAGGAUGCAAGCGUUGUCCGGAAUUAUUGGGCGUAAAGAGCGCGCAGGCGGUCUAUCAAGUCAGAUGUGAAAUAUCCCGGCUUAACCGGGAGGGGUCAUUUGAAACUGGUAGACUAGAGUACAGCAGAGGAUAGCGGAAUUCCCGGUGUAGUGGUGAAAUGCGUAGAUAUCGGGAGGAACACCAGUGGCGAAGGCGGCUAUCUGGGCUGAAACUGACGCUGAGGCGCGAAGGCUAGGGGAGCA
RNAcentral lists this ribosomal RNA (247 nucleotides) under uncultured bacterium. Its description in RNAcentral is "partial 16S ribosomal RNA". It matches the Rfam family "Bacterial small subunit ribosomal RNA", at positions 524 to 770 of the family's 1533-position model. The record is from RNAcentral.